This 674-nucleotide small RNA is filed under the name Malus domestica (apple). Its description in RNAcentral is "sRNA MD15G0366400". Lineage: Eukaryota; Viridiplantae; Streptophyta; Magnoliopsida; Rosales; Rosaceae. The record is from RNAcentral.
UUUUGGUAAGUCUUUGACCAAUAAGACCCUAAUAGUUGUUGGAGUAUGUGGCCAAUCUCACUUCCAGAUACAAUGCUUGAUUUCUUGUCAGAAAAGAAAGACAGAAGCGAUGUCAUUGUCUUUGAUAUGUACGGUCAUUUUGGAACAACGUUUGGAAAUGUCAUAAAGAGAUAGGGAGGACAAGUAGUAUCUUUCAAGAUUUGGUUAUCAAUGUGCCUUUGAUUGUUGUCCAAACUAAAGAAAUUAUCUGAAGUAUUAGUUUAUAUGUUGCACUCAGGAAUACAAAGACAGGUUAACUGUUGUUAAGAUAGAUCAUGAUGCAAACCCAAAACUGAUUGAAGAAUAUAAAGUUUAUGGGUUGCCGGCUUUGAUUCUCUUCACAAACGGAAAGGAAGUUCCAGAAAGUCGGAGAGAAGGCGCAAUUGCCAAAGCGAAGCUUCAAGAGUAUGUGGAUGUGUUUUUGGAGUCCAUGCCAGUUGCAUAGUUCCACUUCCAUUUGAACUUGCAGAGAUCCCAAAUUCUAUCAGGUUCAAUCUGUGUGUAAUAUGAGUAAUCCUUUCCUCCUUUUCUUUUUAGUUUCUUAAGUGUAUUGUACUUGCAUUCAAUUGUAUAAAGUGAGCUGAAAAUUUCGAAAACUAUUCUCUGAGCCUCCAAUUUUCGCUUCUUUUCUUCUC